Molecule: ribosomal RNA, 407 nt
Filed under: uncultured bacterium
Lineage: Bacteria
Description: bacterial SSU rRNA
Rfam family: Bacterial small subunit ribosomal RNA
Source: RNAcentral
AGAGUUUGAUCCUGGCUCAGAAUCAACGCUGGCGGCGUGCCUAACACAUGCAAGUCGCACGAGAAAGGGACUUCGGUCCUGAGUAAAGUGGCGCACGGGUGAGUAACACGUGAAUCAUCUACCUUCGAGUGGGGAAUAACUGGGAGAAAUCUCAGCUAAUACCGCAUAAUACCUACGGGUCAAAGCAGCAAUGCGCUUGAAGAGGAGUUCGCGGCAGAUUAGCUAGUUGGCGGGGUAAUGGCCCACCAAGGCGAUGAUCUGUAUCCGGCCUGAGAGGGCGCACGGACACACUGGAACUGAAACACGGUCCAGACUCCUACGGGAGGCAGCAGUGGGGAAUUUUGCGCAAUGGGGGAAACCCUGACGCAGCAACGCCGCGUGGAGGAUGAAGUAUCUUGGUACGUAAA